RNAcentral lists this ribosomal RNA (911 nucleotides) under uncultured bacterium. RNAcentral describes it as "bacterial SSU rRNA". It matches the Rfam family "Bacterial small subunit ribosomal RNA", at positions 33 to 940 of the family's 1533-position model. The record is from RNAcentral.
ACGCUGGCGGCGUGCUUAACACAUGCAAGUCGAACGCUGAAGCCCAGCUUGCUGGGUGGAUGAGUGGCGAACGGGUGAGUAACACGUGAGUAACCUGCCCUCUUCUUUGGGAUAACGCCCGGAAACGGGUGCUAAUACUGGAUAUUCACUGGCCUUCGCAUGGGGGUUGGUGGAAAGGUUUUUUCUGGUGGGGGAUGGGCUCGCGGCCUAUCAGCUUGUUGGUGGGGUGAUGGCCUACCAAGGCUUUGACGGGUAGCCGGCCUGAGAGGGUGACCGGUCACAUUGGGACUGAGAUACGGCCCAGACUCCUACGGGAGGCAGCAGUGGGGAAUAUUGCACAAUGGGCGAAAGCCUGAUGCAGCGACGCCGCGUGAGGGAUGGAGGCCUUCGGGUUGUAAACCUCUUUCGCUCAUGGUCAAGCCGCAACUGUGGGUUGUGGUGAGGGUAGUGGGUAAAGAAGCGCCGGCUAACUACGUGCCAGCAGCCGCGGUAAUACGUAGGGCGCGAGCGUUGUCCGGAAUUAUUGGGCGUAAAGGGCUUGUAGGCGGUUGGUCGCGUCUGCCGUGAAAUCCUCUGGCUUAACUGGGGGCGUGCGGUGGGUACGGGCUGACUUGAGUGCGGUAGGGGAGACUGGAACUCCUGGUGUAGCGGUGGAAUGCGCAGAUAUCAGGAAGAACACCGGUGGCGAAGGCGGGUCUCUGGGCCGUUACUGACGCUGAGGAGCGAAAGCGUGGGGAGCGAACAGGAUUAGAUACCCUGGUAGUCCACGCUGUAAACGUUGGGCACUAGGUGUGGGGGCCACCCGUGGUUUCUGCGCCGUAGCUAACGCUUUAAGUGCCCCGCCUGGGGAGUACGGCCGCAAGGCUAAAACUCAAAGGAAUUGACGGGGGCCCGCACAAGCGGCGGAGCAU